GAGGGUAUAGCUCAGGGGUAGAGUGCAUGCCUAGCAUGCACAAAGUCCCGGGUUCAAUCCCCAGCACCUCCA
Molecule: transfer RNA, 72 nt
Filed under: Camelus bactrianus (Bactrian camel)
Lineage: Eukaryota; Metazoa; Chordata; Mammalia; Artiodactyla; Camelidae
Also listed under: 2 other names
Rfam family: tRNA
About the family: Transfer RNA (tRNA) molecules are approximately 80 nucleotides in length. Their secondary structure includes four short double-helical elements and three loops (D, anti-codon, and T loops).
Source: Rfam by way of RNAcentral